AACGAACGCUGGCGGCGUGGAUUAGGCAUGCAAGUCGAACGUGAAGGGGUCCUUCGGGGCUCCGGAAAGUGGCAAACGGGUGAGUAACACGUGGGAAACCUGCCCUUAUGUUGGGAAUAACACUUCUAACGAGGUGCUAAUACCGAAUACGAUCAUCCGGUCGCAUGGCCGGGUGAUGAAAGGCGGCCUCUGCUUGCAAGCUGUCGCAUAAGGAUGGUCCCGCGCCCCAUUAGCUAGUUGGUGAGGUAAUGGCCCACCAAGGCUAUGAUGGGUAGCCGGCCUUAGCGGGUGUCCGGCCACACUGGGACUGAGACACGGCCCAGACUCCUACGGGUGGCAG
RNAcentral lists this ribosomal RNA (340 nucleotides) under uncultured Latescibacterota bacterium. RNAcentral's name for it is "bacterial SSU rRNA". It matches the Rfam family "Bacterial small subunit ribosomal RNA", at positions 29 to 351 of the family's 1533-position model. The record is from RNAcentral. Lineage: Bacteria; Pseudomonadati; Candidatus Latescibacterota.